UACAUAAUGUUUUACAUUUUCGUUAAGAAUACAUAACAAUUGAAUAACAGAAUACAAUUGAGUGAUCCUUUAUAUCAAUUUUUUUCGGUAUUUACACUAAUCUUAGAAUUUGUUAGUAACCCUAAUAAUGAACAAAUUUUGGGCUAUAUAAAUAGCUGCUCAAUUUUAUUUCUGAGAAGAGAUACUUGCACUACAUUUUUAUUCAAGUUCGUGAAACAAAUUGAUUUCGUAUCAUUUUUUGGAUUGGCAACAUCAGAGCAAUGAUCUUACUUCACAAUAACAUUCACCGGUAGAUUCAUUGUUGUUGGUGAUUAUACACGUUUUUUUAACCUAAUUGACAUAUAAUUCUAUUAAAUCCUCCAAAAGUGCAUCUUUGGAUAAUUCUUCUUUAAAGGUGGGUUAUCACGCAAACAUUUUUGUAGAAAAUUUGAUUCUAUAUAAUUUAUUAGGAUUUUUGGCGUUUACCGUUUGCAUAAAAUGGACAUCGUUUGCGAGACUCGAAUUUUUAAAAGUCGGCUCUGCCGAAAUCAAACGCAGAUUAGUAUGUCCCGUUGAUGACGUAGUGGUGAAAACUCGUCGGCAAAAAUUUGCAUUAGGUCAAAGGCUAUCUGGCUAUACCGGUAUAUACGCAAACACUACCGUAACGUAUGGAAUGUGGAGUUGGUGGUUACAGCAGAUUUCACAAUGAUGGAUCUGUCUCGAAACAAGGAGAAAACUAUGGAUAAAAUUUUCGCAAGUAACCUUUUUUGAUGUCUCUCCAUGGAACUAAAAGAACACCUCCAAGUCGAAGAAUCGUUUCAGCCUUAAAAUUAUGUUGGAACCUAUGCAAACUCCUACCCACAGCUCGAAACAACAAUACCUCACGCAGUUAUUCAAAUCAGUUUUUAUUUAUUUUUAACAUUUUAUUACAAGUUUGCAUCAUAUGUAAUUCAUUCAUGCCAAUAAAUGUGUUGUCACGAA
Molecule: non-coding RNA, 960 nt
Organism: Styela clava
Lineage: Eukaryota; Metazoa; Chordata; Ascidiacea; Stolidobranchia; Styelidae
Source: RefSeq, a predicted model, not a curated record